This is a long non-coding RNA of Pelobates fuscus (common spadefoot toad), 1006 nucleotides long. RefSeq lists it as uncharacterized. NCBI's taxonomy places the organism in Eukaryota, Metazoa, Chordata, Amphibia, Anura, Pelobatidae. The transcript is spliced from 3 exons. The record is from RefSeq and is a predicted model, not a curated record.
GUGUACUCACCAGCCUGGCGAUCCAAGCCCGGCACUGCGCUCACAGAAGGCUGAGGCAAAGAAACAGCAGUACCAGCAUCCACAGAAGACAUCAACUGUGGUCCAGGCACCACCUGCUGGACGGGUCCAUGAACUGCAGCAGAUGCCUGAGAAGAGAGCAGUGGAGAAGAGGAGAGCCCACACCCAAAAGGAGAUGGCCGAGUUGCCGGCCACCAUCCACGCUGCAGCAGCCCUGAGGGAAGCCAGAAAGCCUCAACCUCCAUCCCUCAAGCUGUGUAAAUCUGCAGGCCCAGGCAAACAGGAGCAGGAGGACAGGAAGCUGUUUGCUGGCCCGAAUGCCAAGUGGCACUGAGACAUUGGUGAAAAGGAAGUUCGAAGAAUAUAAUGGAUAAAUCACUCAAACAAGCUACUCCAGGGACAAUUAACCAUUGUGCUCAGUAUUACUAGUUUGUAGAACUACAGCUCCCCCUUCUGGGCAGUAAGUUUAAUGCAAAAAGUUGGAGCACACUAAAAAAAAGGUUUUACUUUACUCUAUUUAUAUGAACAUUUUAUAUUUGAUUUGUAAAUUGUCAUAGAUUUUUGGGGGCAUGUUUCAUGAUAACGAGAGAAGAUAUUUGGCUUCAUAAUCCAAAACCCUUCCACUAAUGUAUGAUAAUGGGCUCUAUCCCAAUAUUGAAGCCGAAUUGCUCUAGUAAAUGUUGUCUAUUUGAAGAAUUCUCCUGCACCUGUAGUUUGUAACAAAGUGUUUUGCCCACUAUAAUGAGAAUGGUGAGAACACUCAGAGGGGCAGAGUGUUCCGAAGUGUUCUAGAGAGAUUCUCAGAAUUUUCAACCGGCUGAAGUAAAACAAAAACAUCCUGACGAUUAUUAUCAAGGUGUGUCAAAUCACUGUGUCUGAACGACACCGCACUUUCCGAUCUCUGGCCGUGUGCGAUUGUAUCAGAGUAAAACAUACCAUCAUGUAUUUAGACAUCAACCAAUAUGAAAACAAAAUAAAUAGAGAUCUA